GGGGGGAUCUUGGUCAAUGGGGGAAACCCUGAACCAGCGACGCCGCGUGAGGGAAGAAGGUCCUUGGAUCGUAGACCUCUUUUGCCAGGGAAGAUGAUGACGGUACCUGGCGAAUAAGCCCCGGCUAACUACGUGCCAGCAGCCGCGGUAAUACGUAGGGGGCGAGCGUUGUCCGGAUUUACUGGGCGUAAAGAGCGCGUAGGCGGUCUGAAGAGUCGGCUGUGAAAUCUCUGGGCCCAACCCAGAGGGGUCGGCCGAGACCUUUGGACUUGAGGGUGGUAGAGGAAGGUGGAAUUCCGGGUGUAGUGGUGAAAUGCGUAGAGAUCCGGAGGAACACCAGUGGCGAAGGCGGCCUUCUGGGCCAUACCUGACGCUGAGGCGCGAAAGCGUGGGGAGCGAACCGAAUUAGAUACUCGGGUAGUCCACGCCCUAAACGAUGGACGCUAGGUGUCGGGGGUAUCGACCCCCCGGUGCCCGAGCGAACGCAGUAAGCGUCCCGCCUGGGGAGUACGGCCGCAAGGCUAAAACUCAAAGGAUUG
Molecule: ribosomal RNA, 539 nt
Filed under: uncultured bacterium
Lineage: Bacteria
Description: bacterial SSU rRNA
Rfam family: Bacterial small subunit ribosomal RNA
Source: RNAcentral